Molecule: signal recognition particle RNA, 260 nt
Filed under: Papio anubis (olive baboon)
Lineage: Eukaryota; Metazoa; Chordata; Mammalia; Primates; Cercopithecidae
Description: Metazoan signal recognition particle RNA (ENSPANG00000042379.1)
Rfam family: Metazoan signal recognition particle RNA
About the family: The signal recognition particle (SRP) is a universally conserved ribonucleoprotein. It is involved in the co-translational targeting of proteins to membranes.
Source: Rfam by way of RNAcentral
GCCGGGCGUGGUGGUGGGCGCCUGUAGUCCCAGCUACUCGGAGGCUGAGGCAGGAGAAUGGCGUGAACCUGGGAGGCGGAGCUUGCAGUGAGCCGAGAUCGCGCCACUGCACUCCAGCCUGGGUGACACAGCGCGAGACUCCGUCUCAAAAAAAAAAAAAAAAAAAGAAUCUCGCUCUGUCACCCAGGCUGCAGUGCAGUGGUGUGACCUCAGCUCACUGCAACCUCCGCCUCCCAGGUUCAAGCAGUUCUCUGCCUCAG